RNAcentral lists this long non-coding RNA (1040 nucleotides) under Parus major (Great Tit). RNAcentral describes it as "lncRNA (ENSPMJG00000001074.1)". The record is from RNAcentral. Lineage: Eukaryota; Metazoa; Chordata; Aves; Passeriformes; Paridae.
GCUGGAGCUGGGAGGGCCCAGCUUUGUGUGUGCAGACGGCACACAAAGGAUGGCAGUGGAGCUGAAAGGCUGCAUCCCAUGGAUCCGUGCCCUGUCUGGAGUGCAGCAGUGAGAGCCAAAUUCCCCGUGCCAGCCCAGUUUGGCACUGCCACACUCCCAGCCAUGCCAGCUCCAGGCUUUCGGGGAGCUCACUGGGUUCACAUGUCCUAAAGGGGCAAAUUCUGUGGGUCCUCUGCAAAGCACUGAUCUCCUUUUCCUUCCUCAGCAGGUGUGGUGGAGGAGAAGGAAAAGACCUGAUUGCUGUGGAGCAAAUUCCCCAUCCAUGGCAUCAUCCAGUGACUGGGACUGGCUGCACCCUCCCAAAAAGCGGCCGAAAGGAAAAGCAAGUGCUUGGUUUGUCAGCCACAUCAACCCCACGGCUGCAGGGGCCAUCUCAAGGACAGGAUGUGAGAGCACCAGGGCUUUGGGAUGCUGCAACAUCACUUUCCUCACUGGAAACAGGCAGCAAGGAAGGUGCCAGUUCCAGGUUUUCACCCUUUAUUAGGAAAUACAAGCAGAGAAGGCCCAGGUAGUCAAUCUGCUCUGCAGAGUGGAGCUGUGGAGGGGAAUUUCUGAUGUCUUGUUAAAAGCUGAGCUCACUCUGCUGCAAUGAGCUCUCCCUUGUCUCUUCCUGGCAUUUUCCAGGAGCAUAUGGGAAUGUGAAAGGUCCGAGCUCUGCCUGCCCUUCACAUUUGGUGGAAGCUGAGAGGAGGCUCAGCCCCACACGCUCCCCCCUCAGCCUCUCCCGAGGAGAGCGGGAUGUAAAAGGAAACUGUUUAUUCUGGAGCCAGCUGAGGGAACAGAAACGCCCCUAAACCCGAGCCUGGCUCAGAGAGGGAUCUUCAGCCAGCCAAUCUUCUGCUUCCAGCACAGCACUGCUGGGGCUGGGAGGUGGGGUGGGCUCAGCCUGUGCUGUGUGUGCAAGUGUGUUCCACAGCUGCCUGUCUCCCCAGUCCUGCUGUCCUGAAAAGUUCUUUUCCUUGUUGACAAUCAGGUUCCCA